AGGGGUAUAGCUCAAUUGGCAGAGCGUCGGUCUCCAAAACCGAAGGUUGUGGGUUCAAUUCCUACUGCCCCUGCCA
RNAcentral lists this transfer RNA (76 nucleotides) under Candidatus Kinetoplastidibacterium galati TCC219. RNAcentral's name for it is "tRNA-Trp (CCA) (tRNA-Trp-CCA-1-1)". It matches the Rfam family "tRNA". From Rfam's summary of the family: Transfer RNA (tRNA) molecules are approximately 80 nucleotides in length. Their secondary structure includes four short double-helical elements and three loops (D, anti-codon, and T loops). RNAcentral also lists the same sequence under 1 other name. The record is from RNAcentral. Lineage: Bacteria; Pseudomonadati; Pseudomonadota; Betaproteobacteria.